GAUCAAGCUACAAAGGGUUUAUAAUGAAUGACUUGGCAGAUUAAGGCGAUGAAGGACGUGGAAAGCUGCGAUAAGCCCCGGGGAGCCGCAAUUGGCUUUGAUCCGGGGAUCUCCGAAUGGGGCAACCCCAUCAGAUUCAUCUCUGAUGAUCUCAUACUGAAUACAUAGGUAUGAAAAGCUAUACCAGGUGAACUGAAACAUCUAAGUAACCUGAGGAAAAGAAACCGAAUGGGAUUCUCUUAGUAGCGGCGAGCGAAGAGAGAACAGGCUAAACCGACAAGCAUGCUUGUCGGGGUUGCGGGACCUUAAUGUGGGAUUGUGAUGGAAUAGCAGAAGUGUUUGAAAAAACACGCCAUAGACUGUGAGAGCCAGGUAUGCGAAAUUCCAAAGCACCCUAGAGGUAUCCCAAGUACUGCCGGGCACGGGAAAUCUGGCAGGAAUCUGGCCCGACCAUGGGCUAAGCCUAAAUACUCAAUCUGACCGAAAGUGGACAAGUACCGUGAGGGAAAGUUGAAAAGAACCCCGGGAGGGGAGUGAAAUAGAACCUGAAAUAAUAAACCUACAAGCUGUCGGAGGCCUAUGUUCUUCUCGUAAGAGGAGAAAACGGCUGACGGCGUACCUUUUGCAUAAUGGACCAACGAGUUAUUAUGUGUUGCAAGCUUAAGCUCCUCUGGAGUGUAGGCGUAGGGAAACCGAGUCUGAAUAGGGCGACAAUAAGUAGCACAUAAUAGACCCGAAACCACGUGAUCUAUCCAUGGCCAGGUUGAAGCUUAUCGAAAGAUAAGUGGAGGACCGAACGCAUUAUCGUUGAAAAGAUUCGCGAUGAGCUGUGGAUCGGAGUGAAAGGCUAGUCAAACGUGGCAAUUGCUGGUUCUCCCCGAAAUAGUUCUAGGACUAGCUUCGAGGAAUUAAUAAACAGGGGUAGAGUUACUGAAUAGACUAGGGGCCUUACCGGGCUGCCAAAUCUAACCAAACUCCGAAUACUGUUUAUUUUAUCUCGGAAGUCAGAGCAAGAGGGCUAAGCUUCUUGCUCGAGAGGGAAACAGCCCAGACCAUCAACUAAGGUCCCAAAUAUAGACUAAGUGGUAAAGGAAGUGAGAUCACAUAAACAGCCAGGAUGUUGGCUUAGAGGCAGCCAUCAUUUAAAGAGUGCGUAAUAGCUCACUGGUCGAGUGGUCUUGCGCCGAAAAUGAUCGGGGCUCAAGCAUGUAACCGAAGCAGUGGAUUCCGCCGCAAGGCGAGAGUGGUAGGGGAGCGUAGUGUCAUGCGUUGAAGGCGUACCGUAAGGAGCGCUGGAGUAGACACUAGUGAUACUGUUGGUAUAAGUAGCGAAAACUAUAGCGAGAAACUAUAGCAUCGAAAAUCUAAGGUUUCCUGGGGAAGGUUAAUCCGCCCAGGGUUAGUCGAUCCUAAGCCGAGGUCGGGUAGACGUAGGUGAUGGACAGCAGGUUCAAUAUUCCUGCACCACUUGUAACGCGUUAUCAAUUAUGUNNNNNNNNNNUGGCUAUGAACGUUAUAGCUUAAUGUGACGCGGAAGGUUAACUGAUCGGACUGUUGGAAUAGUCCGUCCAAACCGGUAGGUGUGCAGCAAUGCAUGCUGAGGGGUGAUGGGGAGCUGCGAUUAUAUCAAAGCGAAGUCAGUGAUACCAGGCUGCCGAGAAAAACCAUUAAGUGAGUAUCAUGGUCAAUCGUACCGUAAUCCGACACAGGUAGAUAACCAGAAUAUGGUAAGGUGCUCGAGAUAUCCGUCCCUAAGGAACUAGGCAAAGUGGCUCCGUAACUUCGGAAGAAGGAGUGCCGGAUUGGUCAGGCCCCUCGCGGGCGCAGCCAUGAAGGUCACAGUAAAGAGGCUUGGGUGACUGUUUAGUAAAAACACAUCACUCUGCAAAGUCGCAAGACGACGUAUAGGGUGUGACACCUGCCCGGUGCUGGAAGGUUAAGGGAAAAGGUUAGCCGCAAGGCGAAGCUUUGAACCGAAGCCCCAGUAAACGGCGGCCGUAACUAUAACGGUCCUAAGGUAGCGAAAUUCC
Molecule: ribosomal RNA, 2030 nt
Filed under: Nitrospirota bacterium
Lineage: Bacteria; Pseudomonadati; Nitrospirota
Description: Nitrospirae bacterium (sediment metagenome) partial 23S ribosomal RNA
Rfam family: Bacterial large subunit ribosomal RNA
Source: RNAcentral